This 429-nucleotide ribosomal RNA is filed under the name Actinomycetes bacterium. RNAcentral describes it as "Actinobacteria bacterium partial 16S ribosomal RNA". It matches the Rfam family "Bacterial small subunit ribosomal RNA", at positions 355 to 776 of the family's 1533-position model. The record is from RNAcentral. Lineage: Bacteria; Bacillati; Actinomycetota; Actinomycetes.
UAGGGAAUCUUCCGCAAUGGGCGAAAGCCUGACGGAGCAACGCCGCGUGAGUGAUGAAGGUCUUCGGAUCGUAAAACUCUGUUAUUAGGGAAGAACAAAUGUGUAAGUAACUAUGCACGUCUUGACGGUACCUAAUCAGAAAGCCACGGCUAACUACGUGCCAGCAGCCGCGGUAAUACGUAGGUGGCAAGCGUUAUCCGGAAUUAUUGGGCGUAAAGCGCGCGUAGGCGGUUUUUUAAGUCUGAUGUGAAAGCCCACGGCUCAACCGUGGAGGGUCGUUGGAAACUGGAAAACUUGAGUGCAGAAGGGGAAAGUGGAAUUCCAGGUGUAGCGGUGAAAUGCGCAGAGUUAUGGAGGAACACCAGUGGCGAAGGCGACUUUCUGGUCUGUAACUGACGCUGAUGUGCGAAAGCGUGGGGAUCAAACAGG